Molecule: long non-coding RNA, 173 nt
Filed under: Sus scrofa (pig)
Lineage: Eukaryota; Metazoa; Chordata; Mammalia; Artiodactyla; Suidae
Description: lncRNA (ENSSSCG00035069577.1, ENSSSCG00065037991.1, ENSSSCG00070018143.1)
Source: RNAcentral
CACAUCAUAAUCCCACUUGCUGUCAUUCCAGAAACGUACAGCUUCACCAGAUGGGCUCGUGGCAAAGUGGGAAAAGAUAUGUACAAGCACGACUACAGGUACCCUGUCAGCCGAACCAAAGGGAAGACUUCCCCUUCCUGAUUCUCUGCUAUCUGUCGCAUUCAGAGAAGGAC